CCAUAUCUACCAUGUCUCUACGCUGUCAAAGAAAAUCUUCACCUCGCCGCAAAGGAAAGACAUCCACUUCUUGCCACCGGGCAUACUCUUCGAUAGACGAGAAUAGUGAUUGAAGCCUUCAAAUAAAAGAGAUCAGGGAAGAAACCCUUCAUCUCUUAUGGGGAUUUCACCUCAUUUUUUUCAUGGGUUUUGUUAAUAAUUUC
RNAcentral lists this long non-coding RNA (203 nucleotides) under Panax ginseng (ginseng). Its description in RNAcentral is "long non-coding RNA (PGIN_LNC014363)". The record is from RNAcentral. Lineage: Eukaryota; Viridiplantae; Streptophyta; Magnoliopsida; Apiales; Araliaceae.